UACGUAGGGGGCAAGCGUUGUCCGGAUUUACUGGGCGUAAAGAGCGUGUAGGCGGCCACGCAGGUCCGUUGUGAAAACUGGAGGCUCAACCUCCAGCUGUCGACGGAAACCGUAUGGCUAGAGUCCGGAAGAGGAGAGUGGAAUUCCUGGUGUAGCGGUGAAAUGCGCAGAUAUCAGGAAGAACACCAAUGGCGAAGGCAGCUCUCUGGGACGGUACUGACGCUGAGGAGCGAAAGCGUGGGGAGCGAACAGG
This 253-nucleotide ribosomal RNA is filed under the name uncultured bacterium. RNAcentral describes it as "partial 16S ribosomal RNA". It matches the Rfam family "Bacterial small subunit ribosomal RNA", at positions 524 to 776 of the family's 1533-position model. The record is from RNAcentral.